CCCCUAGACGUUCUGGGCUGCACGCGCGCUACAAUAAUACGCACAGCGAGUAUCACCGAGCUCGAAAGGGCAAGGUAAACAAUAGAAAAGGUACUGUAAUGGUUAUAGAUCCUUGUAAUUAUUGAUCUUCAACGAGGAAUUCCUAGUAAGUAUGUGUCAUCAUCACGCACUGAUUACGUCCCUGCCCUUUGUACACACCGCCCGUCGCUCCUACCGAUUGGGUGAGCUGAUGAAACUCUCGGAUGUAGGCUAUUCAUAGCCCGCAGAAGAGAUUUGAAUCGUAGCGCUUAGAGGAAGGAGAAGUCGUAACA
RNAcentral lists this ribosomal RNA (311 nucleotides) under uncultured eukaryote. Its description in RNAcentral is "partial 18S ribosomal RNA". It matches the Rfam family "Eukaryotic small subunit ribosomal RNA", at positions 1470 to 1796 of the family's 1831-position model. The record is from RNAcentral.